RNAcentral lists this ribosomal RNA (638 nucleotides) under uncultured bacterium. RNAcentral describes it as "bacterial SSU rRNA". The stretch from base 1 to 552 matches the Rfam family "Bacterial small subunit ribosomal RNA", at positions 338 to 873 of the family's 1533-position model. The record is from RNAcentral.
CCUACGGGAGGCAGCAGUGGGGAAUAUUGGACAAUGGGCGCAAGCCUGAUCCAGCCAUACCGCGUGUGUGAAGAAGGCCUUUUGGUUGUAAAGCACUUUAAGCGAGGAGGAGGCUCUUGAGGUUAAUACCCUUGAUGAGUGGACGUUACUCGCAGAAUAAGCACCGGCUAACUCUGUGCCAGCAGCCGCGGUAAUACAGAGGGUGCGAGCGUUAAUCGGAAUUACUGGGCGUAAAGCGCGCGUAGGCGGCUUGUUAAGUCGGAUGUGAAAUCCCCGGGCUCAACCUGGGCACUGCAUUCGAUACUGGCAAGCUAGAGUAUGGGAGAGGAAGGUAGAAUUCCAGGUGUAGCGGUGAAAUGCGUAGAGAUCUGGAGGAAUACCGAUGGCGAAGGCAGCCUUCUGGCCUAAUACUGACGCUGAGGUGCGAAAGCAUGGGGAGCAAACAGGAUUAGAUACCCUGGUAGUCCAUGCCGUAAACGNUGUCAACUAGCCGGUUGGGGACCUUGAGUUCUUUAGGUGGCCGCGAGCGACGCGAAGUAGUUAGUUACCGCCGUGGGUUAGGUUACGGUCGCGAGACGAACGUUACGAAGAAGUUAGACGGCGNGAGACGNGCGACGGACGACGACGAGGGAGUUAGG